GGUUUAAAAUUGCUAUAGAAAUUAUUUGGAAUUAUUUAGGAUUUGGUUAGGAUUUGUUUAGGAUUUGGUUAAGAUUUAAUUAGGAUUUUAUUAAGAUUUGUUCAGUAUUUGUUUAGGAUUUGAUUAGAAUUUAUUUAGGAUUUGUUUAGGAUUUGGUUAAGAUUUAUUUAAGAUUUAUUUAGGGUUGAUUAGGAUUUGGUUAAGAUUUGACUAAGAUUUAAUUAAGGUUUC
RNAcentral lists this long non-coding RNA (231 nucleotides) under Physcomitrium patens. RNAcentral describes it as "long non-coding RNA (PPAT_LNC012904)". Lineage: Eukaryota; Viridiplantae; Streptophyta; Bryopsida; Funariales; Funariaceae. The record is from RNAcentral.